This 352-nucleotide unclassified non-coding RNA is filed under the name soil metagenome. Its description in RNAcentral is "partial contains 5.8S ribosomal RNA, internal transcribed spacer 2, and large subunit ribosomal RNA". The stretch from base 1 to 120 matches the Rfam family "5.8S ribosomal RNA", at positions 35 to 154 of the family's 154-position model. The record is from RNAcentral.
GAUGAAGAACGUAGCGAAAUGCGAUAAGUAAUGUGAAUUGCAGAAUUCAGUGAAUCAUCGAAUAUUUGAACGCACAUUGCGCCCGCCAGUAUUCUGGCGGGCAUGCCUGUUCGAGCGUCAUUACAACCCUCAGGCCCCCGGGCCUGGCGUUGGGGAUCGGCGGAGCCCCCCGUGGGCACACGCCGUCCCCCAAAUGCAGUGGCGGUCCCGCCGCAGCUUCCAUCGCGUAGUAGCUAACACCUCGCGACUGGAGAGCGGCGCGGCCACGCCGUAAAACACCCAACUCUUCUGAAGUUGACCUCGAAUCAGGUAGGAAUACCCGCUGAACUUAAGCAUAUCAAUAAGCGGAGGA